AGUUCGGAUUGCAGGCUGCAACCCGCCUGUAUGAAGUUGGAAUCGCUAGUAAUCGCGGAUCAGCAUGCCGCGGUGAAUACGUUCCCGGGCCUUGUACACACCGCCCGUCACACCAUGAGAGUCGGAAACACCCGAAGUCCGUAGUCUAACUUUCACGAGAGGACGCGGCCGAAGGUGGGUUCGAUAAUUGGGGUGAAGUCGUAACAAGGUAGC
This 213-nucleotide ribosomal RNA is filed under the name uncultured bacterium. RNAcentral's name for it is "partial 16S ribosomal RNA". It matches the Rfam family "Bacterial small subunit ribosomal RNA", at positions 1290 to 1500 of the family's 1533-position model. The record is from RNAcentral.